UAACAUGCGCGUUGGGCCCUAAAACACCCUCAGACCCAAGUGAUGGGCAGUUCAAGAUUGCUGUCGUUCAGGAAGUUAAUAACCACAUCCCCUGUUGCAGUUGUGAGCUACAAAUACCCAGAGCAAUACUAGGCAAUAAUAGGCAACACUUACACUGGAAUUCAUACAGAAAGGCGGGAUUUUCUUCAACGGUCGACAUUCAGGAGUGGCAAGAAGAACAAUUCACAACUGUGCAUAUAUUCACUCUGGAGUAAGCUUACCAGGAGGAGACAGACCGAGAUUUAGACUUCAUUCAAAGGUAUUUAAGAGGAACAAAGAAGUUAAAAGGAAAAGUGCCAUCUAAAACCACAGGGCAAAUGGCACAGAAGAAACUGGUUGAAGUGAACCCAAGUUGCCACUGUCGUGGAAAUUCUCAAAGCUAAUCUGACUUCACCACAGACAACUCAAACAACUAAAUAAACAGUAUCUCGGGCUAAUUCCCUGAACUCCCCGAAUACUUGCAGUACAAUCCAAAGAAAUACUGUAUCUCGAGCUAAUUCCCAGAAUUCCUUGAAUACAAUAUAAUCCAAUACUUCCCUGAAGUAUGGUGACGGUGUCCCAUCAAGAAGCUACUAUCACUACCUCAAUCACACAUGGCAUGCAGGUCUUCAGCAUCUAUACACUCUCACCGCCCUUCUCAGCUGUACACUGUUACUUCAGCCCGAGGACGGCUUUAUAGUCUUCCAACACUAUCACUGUCUUUGUGGUGGUCUUUUGAGCGUAGAGUCUUUAGUACUCCUAUUCCUCAGCUGCGCAGCAUAUACCAGACACCACUCCCUAGUUGCUCUUUGCAGGAAUGUUUUAUUCACGGCCGGGAACCCACUGAUGACAACAACCAAGAGAGACUCCCUGAACAGAAAGAUACAUGUACAUUUAUACCUUGUAGUUGAGUAAAAAUCAAUAUCACUCAAGUCUUCUUCACUGUAAUUGGUUACACUGAUCUGGUCAUUGGUUUGUCAUAUGACUUAGUUCUACUGUUUAGGCACUUUUUAGAUUAUUUAAUCAUGGAGACAUGGUCUUUGAUUUGAGCAUCACUUAGACUGUACUUUUCUAAACAAGUUUAUGUUGAACACACCCUUUCAACAUAUUCUAAGGCCAUUAA
Long non-coding RNA from Labeo rohita (rohu), 1141 nucleotides. RefSeq lists it as uncharacterized. Lineage: Eukaryota; Metazoa; Chordata; Actinopteri; Cypriniformes; Cyprinidae. The transcript has 4 exons. The record is from RefSeq and is a predicted model, not a curated record.